CUAAUACCUAUAUACGUGUGCCGUCGCGCCCUGUCCCGGGAAACCGGUUUUACAAUGCCGGAGAAGCCGACUCGGUGGACGUAGAGGAAGAGGAUGAAGAGGAAUGGGCAACCGGUCAAGAAUUAAUAUAUUGGUUCGAGAAAUACGCAGUCUAAACGGUCAUUAUUAGUGGAAGAGUUGAACCCGAAAAUUGUCCCCGCUCACUGUUGGACUUGCUGAAAAAAAAAAAUCGGUCGUUUGUCCUUGAUGUUAUAAAAAUAACAAACCCAACCGAAUGCAUAUUAUAAAAAUAAACGAGAACAAUCGCCAGUCGAACAGAAAAAACAACACACGAAAUUAUUUUCGGACGGUGCGAUCGACGGUGGACGGACAAAACCGUUAAAAAAUUUGAAACAUAACAAAACUAUUUCGUAAAACGUCGACGGGGUAUCGUCUCCGAAAACAAGAGUUUCGUCUCUAUGUAAACC
Cinara cedri is the source of this 467-nucleotide non-coding RNA. The record is from the annotation of a GenBank genome assembly. NCBI's taxonomy places the organism in Eukaryota, Metazoa, Arthropoda, Insecta, Hemiptera, Aphididae.